Molecule: long non-coding RNA, 1335 nt
Filed under: Bemisia tabaci
Lineage: Eukaryota; Metazoa; Arthropoda; Insecta; Hemiptera; Aleyrodidae
Description: lncRNA ENSSSA1UGG004173
Source: RNAcentral
AUCUGUGCAGACCAUCAAGAAUGACUCCGGGGCUCGUUAAUAAAAGUCAUGAUAAUGAAAACGAUUUAGAGGUUGGAACUUGGACAGUGUGCCGACAUUUUUGUACGCAGCUCAAAAUUUACAGAGCCUAUACUUGGCAAACAAUAACAUUGAGCAGCUUCCUGCCGGCUUUUUGGACAUUUUCCUCACUUAAGGUGGUUCGAUUUGAGAAAUAACAAACUGAAAACCUUUCCAACGACUGUCAAGGACCACCGAACUCUUGAAACUUUGCUGCUGGAUGACAACCAACUUUCUGCCCUCCCGAUGGAGUUAGGUGCGGUAUCAACAUUAAAAGGUCUCCAGGUUACGAACAAUCCUCUUGAAUAUCCACCGGAGAGAAUCGUGAGGAAAGGUGUCCAACACCUCAUACGGUUUUUGCGAGAGGAAUGGAGCAAUCGGGAUGAAAAGAAAAGCUCAAAGGUUGAAAGUACUAUGCCGGGAUGGCGGACAGACAUUUACAUUGAAAACAUGGAAUGCAACUCAGAGGAAACUCUUUUGCCUUCGCGACUCAAAAGGAAAAAGAACGUCACAAAAAAAAUUACAUCAAGAAGAAUCAAGUCAGCUAAAACUCCAUUAUUGGCUAUUGAGCACUACGUGAGGGUCAAAAAGUUGCUAAAAGCAAAACCGGAGACAAACUUAAAUUUAUUUGAAUUUUGGGACCAACUGACACCCUCUCAUCUAAUGGAGAAACUAUCUUAUUCUCAUCUUGCAAAACACGAAAGAAAGGAGGGGGAAAGUCAGAGUUCCUUCAGGCCGCUGGCGACUCCCAGUAAUAUCCAACAUGGGAACACCUUCAUAAUUCCAAACCGGCUGAAGUAUAGAAGGAAACGGAUGAUAUUGCCACGGAGGCCUUUGGGAGAUAAACUAAGAAGCAAGGAUGAUUUCGAAAGGGAUGUUCACGAUCGUCAUCUCGAAAGUUUGCGACGCCUCCAGCGGAAACUAACUCUGGAGACGCAGGAACGAAUCUUGCAGAGGGGCAAGAGCAGGGAGGCGUUGAGAAACUGGCGUUUGAAGAGCAAAAAACUGACGCGAAGAGACUCGAGAUCUCAAAUGCGGAAAAUUCUGCGCCAUGACCAGGAUUUCGAUCGAAAUCAUGUCGCCGGAGGAAGGACCUCCAGUGAAGAUUUCUUGAGGAAGUUAGACUCGGUGCGUGAAAAGUUCCAAAAGCUCACUUUGGAGAGACUCCGUGGAGGAGAGAGUUCUCUCGAGGUGGAACAGAAAUUCGCUGAACAGCGAUUGAAUAUGAUUCUCAACAUUCAGAGGGACCUUAAAGAACUCAAGCGGAAGGUGCAAUAA